ACUCAAAGGAAUUGACGGGGGCUCACACAAGCGGUGGAGCAUGUUGCUUAAUUCGAUGCAACGCGUAGAACCUUACCUGGGCUUGACAUGGUCGGAUUAACUCCUGGAAACAGGAGCCACACCCGCAAGGGUGGAACGAUCACAGGUGCUGCAUGGCUGUCGUCAGCUCGUGCUGUGAAGUGUCGGGUUAAGUCCCUUAACGAGCGCAACCCCUGUCGUUAGUUGCCUGCCGCAAGGCGGUACUCUAGCGAGACUGCCGGUGUCAAACCGGAGGAAGGUGGGGAUGACGUCAAGUCCUCAUGGCCCUUACGUCCAGGGCUGCAAACGUGCUACAAUGGUGCGCACAAAGCGAUGCAAGAGCGCAAGCUGGAGCAAAUCGCAAAAAACGUACCCCAGUUCGGAUUGCAGGCUGCAACUCGCCUGCAUGAAGUCGGAAUCGCUAGUAAUCGGGGAUCAGCUACGCCCCGGUGAAUACGUUCCUGAGCCUUGUACACACCGCCCGU
This 503-nucleotide ribosomal RNA is filed under the name uncultured bacterium. Its description in RNAcentral is "partial 16S ribosomal RNA". It matches the Rfam family "Bacterial small subunit ribosomal RNA", at positions 899 to 1397 of the family's 1533-position model. The record is from RNAcentral.